RNAcentral lists this ribosomal RNA (494 nucleotides) under uncultured bacterium. RNAcentral's name for it is "partial 16S ribosomal RNA". It matches the Rfam family "Bacterial small subunit ribosomal RNA", at positions 29 to 507 of the family's 1533-position model. The record is from RNAcentral.
AUGCACGCUGGCGGCGUGCCUAAUACAUGCAAGUAAAACGCUGAAGGAGGAGCUUGCUCUUCUGGAUGAGUUGCGAACGGGUGAGUAACGCGUAGGUAACCUGCCUGGUAGCGGGGGAUAACUAUUGGAAACGAUAGCUAAUACCGCAUGACAACAGUUAUUGCAUGAUAACUGUUUAAAAGGGGCAACUGCUCCACUACCAGAUGGACCUGCGUUGUAUUAGCUAGUUGGUGAGGUAACGGCUCACCAAGGCGACGAUACAUAGCCGACCUGAGAGGGUGAUCGGCCACACUGGGACUGAGACACGGCCCAGACUCCUACGGGAGGCAGCAGUAGGGAAUCUUCGGCAAUGGACGGAAGUCUGACCGAGCAACGCCGCGUGAGUGAAGAAGGUUUUCGGAUCGUAAAGCUCUGUUGUAAGAGAAGAACGAGUGUGAGAGUGGAAAGUUCACACUGUGACGGUAUCUUACCAGAAAGGGACGGCUAACUACGUG